GACGAACGCUGGCGGCGUGCCUAACACAUGCAAGUCGAGCGGAGUCGAUCGACGGAAGCCUUCGGGCGGAAGAUGGUUGACUUAGCGGCGGAUGGGUGAGUAACGCGUGGGCAACCUGCCUCGAAGACCGGGAUAACAGCCCGAAAGGGCUGCUAAUACCGGAUGUGGUCAAAGAUCCGCAUGGAUUUUUGAUUAAAGGGGAAACCCGUUUCGAGAUGGGCCCGCGUCCUAUCAGCUAGUUGGUGAGGUAAAAGCUCACCAAGGCGACGACGGGUAGCCGGCCUGAGAGGGUGACCGGCCACACUGGAACUGAGACACGGUCCAGACUCCUACGGGGGCAGCAGUGGGGAAUCUUCCACAAUGGGCGAAAGCCUGAUGGAGCGACGCCGCGUGAGCGAAGAAGGCCUCGGUUGUAAAGCUCUGUCUGGAGGGACGAAGGAAGUGACGGUACCUCCGGAGGAAGCCACGGCUAACUACGUG
Molecule: ribosomal RNA, 480 nt
Filed under: uncultured bacterium
Lineage: Bacteria
Description: bacterial SSU rRNA
Rfam family: Bacterial small subunit ribosomal RNA
Source: RNAcentral